This 399-nucleotide ribosomal RNA is filed under the name Bacillus thuringiensis. Its description in RNAcentral is "partial 23S ribosomal RNA". It matches the Rfam family "Bacterial large subunit ribosomal RNA", at positions 333 to 732 of the family's 2925-position model. Lineage: Bacteria; Bacillati; Bacillota; Bacilli; Caryophanales; Bacillaceae. The record is from RNAcentral.
UAGAAGAGGUGGGAGAGCCUCAACAUAGAAGGUGAUGUUCCUGUAUCCGAAAUCAUAAAAUCUUCUAGCUGUAGCCUGAGUAGGGCGGUGCACGUGAAACCCUGUCUGCCUCUGCCGGGACCACCCGGUAAGGCUAAAUACUAAUCAGACACCGAUAGUGAACUAGUACCGUGAGGGAAAGGUGAAAAGAACCCCGAGAGGGGAGUGAAAUAGAUUCUGAAACCAUUUACUUACAAGUAGUCAGAGCACGUUAAAGUGUGAUGGCGUACAUCUUGCAGUAUGGGCCGGCGAGUUAUGUUAAUAUGCAAGGUUAAGCAGAAAAAAGCGGAGCCGUAGUGAAACCGAGCCUGAAUAGGGCGACUUUAGUAUAUUGGCAUAUACCCGAAACCAGGUGAUCUA